This 261-nucleotide long non-coding RNA is filed under the name Elaeis guineensis (African oil palm). Its description in RNAcentral is "long non-coding RNA (EGUI_LNC026910)". Lineage: Eukaryota; Viridiplantae; Streptophyta; Magnoliopsida; Arecales; Arecaceae. The record is from RNAcentral.
GGGCGGUUUCAUUGGUUAUGCAUGAGUACUCAUGUAUGAUUUUUUUGACAUGAGUAAUGCAUACAAUUUGUUUAAAAGAAAGCAAGCAUUUGAUGCAUAGCUACAAUUCCAUUUAUCAGAAUUAUUUGUGGAAAAGAUAUUAAAUAAUAUUCUCCAUUCAGUCUCAUGUGAUUUUUCCCCCUUUCCCCAAUUCUUUUAAAGUGAUAAUGAAUAUAUUUAUUCUGUAAAAAGGAUAGUCAUAGAAAAAUUAAAAUUGAGAUG